Molecule: long non-coding RNA, 444 nt
Organism: Fukomys damarensis (Damara mole-rat)
Lineage: Eukaryota; Metazoa; Chordata; Mammalia; Rodentia; Bathyergidae
Exons: 3
Source: RefSeq, a predicted model, not a curated record
UUGCGGUUUAGCCUGGCCGGUGAAGCAACGCCCCUCUCAGGAGGCCGUGCCUCUCCCCGGGCUCCGCCUCCGGGCCAGGGAAGCCCGCCCACUGCCCUGUCUCGGGGACUCUCGCCCCUCCUGGCUGGUUGAGGGACUCCCUGGUGGUCUGCGAGACCCUUCCCUAUUACGGAGCGACUCCGCUCCCAUUUCUGGGGUUCCAAAGACCCUGACGUCCUCACCUUACAGUACAGAUGAAGAAACUGAGGCCCAGUGAGGGGGAAAAUCUUGCCCAGGUCACACAGUCAGCCACCAGCUAGUCCAUGAAGUCUUGGAUGUAUGAGUGGCUGGAGAAGCCAUAGAAUUUCUGUGCCUAAAAAUGUAUCCCAGUGCAUGCCUGCAAUUUCAGCACUCUGGGAGGCUAAGGCAAGAGGAUUGCAAGUUCAAGCCCAGCCUGAGCAUAUU